GUUUCAGCCUCCGCACGUGACUCGCCAUGGCCGCUGCCUUCGCCCCGCGCCCCUGAGCCGCGGCCCCCCGGACUGCUCCUCUCCCGGGACCCCGCACCUCUGACGGCGAGCGCAGAGGUUAGGCGCAGGGUUAGGGCAGACGCCGUGCCCGCGGGCGCCCCGGACGGAUUGCGUCCCCCCACUUCGAGGUAACCUCUCUCCCGGGGAUUUUGGAGACCCCCCUGGCUCCCGCAGGCAACGGAGCCCCGUGGCCUGCUGUUGAGGGGAGCGGCGGGCGGGGACCAGGUGCCAGACGGGUUCCGACGGGAACCUGGGGAUUCCUGGGCUUCCCAAUCCGCCGCCGCCGUGCCCAGGGUGGGGGUGCCCCGUCUAUGUGUCUGUCUGCUCCCGUGUCUUCGCGCGCAGCCGUGAGGCGUCUGGGGCGGUCUGCCGCGCGUGUCCCCGGUGCCCGAGCUGUAGCAGAACCGCCGCUGGGAACCCCUGUUCUCUGUCUUUUCUCUUCAAAACCAAGCAAAACAAAAAGACUUUCAAACCUGUUUGGGGAGAGAUCGGAUGCCCAACGGACUAGCCCCCUCCUUCUUUCUCUCCUGUUAUCUGAGACGCCCUGUGGUUUGGGGAGAAUCAGCCCGCGGGCCCACCCCCAUCAGAGGCAGUCGGCUGGGGGGCGGGGCCCGCUCAGCUGGUGUCCCCCGUGGAGUGAGGGGAGCCGUCAGAAUUGGGUGCGGGAGCCAGUGCAGUAGGGGGAGGGAUGUCUCUGGGUUUGGUGCUACCAUGGGGUUGUGGAAGGUUUUUGGGCUGAGGGGAGGACGGAAUAGACUGGUCGUCGUCUUUGCUCUGAUGAGGGUAUCUAGGACCUGGUGCCACCCACGAGGCGCAAAAGCUGCUAGCCAGAUGUGGUGUUAUCUGUUCGUGUCCUCUGGUCCCAGCUGUUCAAACAGGGUGUGGAUCUGUGUACCCACCGGUGGGGGUGCACCUGGCCUUUCAUCUUCAGCCCACCUCCCACCCCCUCCAGGGAUGUGGCUUCUGCAGACAGGGUGUGUGGGUGAACUCUGAGAUCAGUCUCCCUCACCCCUUCAUUGCCUGUGAGUAGGGGGCUUCCGGCCGGGGCAGUCCCUGCCCUCCUGACACACUGCCUGCCCUCAGCCCAUCGUGCUGUUGGGCAUUGGAGGUGAUACCUAGGAGUCCUUGGUUCCCAUUUCCCUAUUUGUCUGUAGGUCAAUGGGCCUCCUCCCUGGGCCUGUGGGACAAACCCAUCUGGGGUGCUGGGGCUUGAUUUGGGGGGGAAGUGGUGUGAGAAGGGCCCCCUGGCUUAGGAGUCAUUUUUCUGAGAAGUACCAAUGCUUUAGGGAAGCAGCUUUUCCUCCCCCCCUCCCCUCAAGCACAC
This 1384-nucleotide long non-coding RNA is filed under the name Equus asinus (donkey). Its description in RNAcentral is "lncRNA (ENSEASG00005037045.1)". Lineage: Eukaryota; Metazoa; Chordata; Mammalia; Perissodactyla; Equidae. The record is from RNAcentral.